GACGAACGCUGGCGGCGUGCUUAACACAUGCAAGUCGAACGGAAAGGCCCUGCUUUUGUGGGGUGCUCGAGUGGCGAACGGGUGAGUAACACGUGAGUAACCUGCCCUUGACUUUGGGAUAACUUCAGGAAACUGGGGCUAAUACCGGAUAGGAGCUCCUGCUGCAUGGUGGGGGUUGGAAAGUUUCGGCGGUUGGGGAUGGACUCGCGGCUUAUCAGCUUGUUGGUGGGGUAGUGGCUUACCAAGGCUUUGACGGGUAGCCGGCCUGAGAGGGUGACCGGCGACACUGGGACUGAGAGACGGCCGAGACUGGGACGGGUGGGAGCAGGGGGGAAUAUUGCACAAGGGGCGGAGGGCGGAUGCAGAAAGGCCGCGGGCGGGAUGACGGUCUUAGGGGGGAAAAACGUUUUCGCCUGUGACGAAGCGUGAGUGACGGGAAGGGGUAAAGAAGGACCGGCUAACUACGUGC
RNAcentral lists this ribosomal RNA (469 nucleotides) under uncultured bacterium. RNAcentral describes it as "partial 16S ribosomal RNA". It matches the Rfam family "Bacterial small subunit ribosomal RNA", at positions 28 to 508 of the family's 1533-position model. The record is from RNAcentral.